UUUCCUUUUAUUACUUAAUUGGAGUAAUAAUUACUUAUAUUAAUUUUAUAAUAUAAGUCUUUUCGAAGAUUAACUUUUAGUUUUACUUUGUUUCUAACUUCUAUUUUAUGUACAUUUGCUGUUGCAUUAACUUUGGCUUCUGAUUUUACCUGUGUCCUUCAUUCUAUUUUAUUUUUUUCUAAUUUGCUUUUGAUGUUGUGUUUUGUAUCUUCUUUAAUUAGAUAUAUGAUCCAUUUUUUUUUUGUCAGUGUCCUGCCAAAACCCACCAGGAGUAAGCUGGAUUUGUUGCUUCUUUUAGUGAGAAAUAUUUAAGAAGUGUGGCUUUUCUCUGGAUUAGCUAUUCUCAGGAAGUGGGAGUAGUUCUAUGAUUGGGUAUCUGAAUAAAUCUUUUCUAGAAGGAGACAUGAAUACAGAGAGGCUAAAGCUGUAAUUGAUGAAAAAGUAGCCAUUGCUUAUAUUAACCGGGAGACAGGAAUGUGCACUGUUUUGUGGUUUAGAAAAUGUUUAUACUUUUUCUGUAUUCAAACAUGAUUGUGGAGUAGUGUUGUUUUUGUCUUGAUCACUGAGGUGACGGAGUGGUUUUGUUCUGUGAAAUGUUCAUGUUCAACAAGAGGAUAUUGGGCCUGGCUGAUGGUGACAGGCCAGCUCCUCAAUGUCAGGAGGUAAUUUUUUUUUUCAUUCUGAUUUUUAAAUUAUUAUUAUUUUUUACUCUACUAAUUUAAGGCUACUAAUUUAUUUGUUAAACCAUAUUGCUUAUAUUCCACACAUUUUGAUAUGUAGUUUAUUCAUUAACCCUUCUAAAUGUUUUCUGACUUCCAGUGAAACUCAUGGUUGAGUUAUUCUUAAAUUUAUAUAGCACUAUUUAUCUCUUGUUAUUACUUUUUAUCUUCAGUAUGUUGGAACUUUGUUUAGUAUUAGUUUGAGAUGUAAAUUUUCAUUUUGAUAUUACCAAACAUUUUGUGGCCUGAUGUUUUUAAUAUACAUACUGUAAAUAGAAGAUAGCUGGAUUUUACUGACAUUCUAACAAUCGUUGUCUUUUAUCUGGAGUGUUUAUAUCUAUGUGAUUAUUGAUAUGCAUGGAUUUAUUUAUAAUUAGCAUGUACUUUCUGUCUAUACCUCUUUUAACUAUUAAUAUAUUCCUUUUCAACUUACUUCUGUUUUGAAUUAUUUUGAGAUGAUUAAUGUCUCCCUUCCUUUUACUAAAAGCAAUGCAUCCUAUUUCUAUUAUUUCAGGGCUUAUUAAAGAAAAAUGAAAAGUGAUUAUUACUCUUUUAUACAACCAGUAUUUGUAUAUUUAUUCAUAUGUUUAUGUUUUUCUUUCUGUACCAUCAUACUGCUCAAGCCUUUAUUCUGUGCUCAUUUUUUUUCUGCCUUAAGUGCAUCUUUAAUAUUUUCUCAAUUUUUGUUUGCCUGAAAUGUCUUUUUAUGACAUUCAAUCUUGCAACGUAAGUUGGCUGAACAUACAGUCCUAGGUUUACAGAAUUUUGAAUAUAUUAUUCUACUUACCUCUUUUUACUAGUUGUUUUCUCAAUGAAAUAGGAAGCAGAAUCAAUAGAUGAGAAAAAAGAUGGGGAAAGAAGUCUUGGAGGCUGGAUAAGAGAAAAGGAGGUAUAAAAAUAGUCAUCUAGAAGAGUGAAAGAGUAAAGGGUAUGGAGAGGGGAAAUUUUGUACUGUUGCUAGACAGCUCUAAUGGCCUUCUUGAAAGUAAUGGCUGUUCACUUUCUGUAAGAAACCUGCUUUACCCCAGCUCUGUUCAGCUGCACACAUGCAAGUGUAGAAAAAAAUGGAAAGCUAGAUUAGCCAGAUUGUGUUUUCCCCAGGAGUGAGUGAGAUGACAGAAGAAAAAAAAAAAAAUAAGAGAUAAGGUUGCAUGCAAGGGACUGAUUAUAGAGGGUAAAGUGGCUAUAAGAAUAUGAGGCUUAGGAAACAAUGUAAAAGGGAUUUUAAAUCGUGGCAUCCAAGAUUGUUGGAAUUGAGGUACUAGCUGGUAAGAUAAACUAAAUAAACUAGUUUUUGUCAUUUUCAAAAUUGCCUCAUGAGCAAAGAAGGCUAGUAGAGCUGAAAUCAUCGUUGCUGCAUUCCAGGAAGCUAGAAGGAAGGAGAGAAGAGCAACAUCCCAGAUGAUGUUAUCUUCUGAAAAGAGCCUUUUAAUCAACAACUUCCGCUUUAUUGAGGUAUAAUUUUGUAGAAAAGAAGAAUUUCUGGAAUUACUUGAGAUGUUAAAAACAUCAAAGCAGAGACCUCCACAGAUUCAGAUUUCCAUGACCUGGGGGGAGGGUAAAAUGGGUAACCAGCAUCUGCAUUUUUUAAAUGCUCACCCUCCAGGGGAUUCCACUGUGUAGUGGAGGGAAAUCCACUGCAUUAGGCAGAUAAUAGUACAAUCAAUUACAGUUGUUUCUUGUUUUCUGCAGUAAUUAUGUCAUAUAACAUUGUUGCAAACACUGAAUUAGUGAACAGUACCCUAUUGCUCCUGGAGAAAUACAGGGUUAGGGUCCUGGAAGCCUUUGGUCACUAAAUUUUUAUCAGUCAAUAACCUUGGUUCAUGAGUGUUUCUGUUUAAAGACACCUUAUAUAAUAAAUAUUGUUGAUUGGUUUUUGACAUUGAACUCACAGCCAACAGCACUGUAACUCAUACCUGAAUGAAGCUUAUGUAACACUUGUAUUUUCUUUGUAAGGCAUAUCAUAGCCUUCUUUAGUCUAGGAACAAUAUUAGACAGCCCUGCAACACUACACUUUGGGGCCAAUUUAAACAGCAAACUCACCAACAAAAAUCACACAAAAAAGUCUGAAAAACACGGCGUUAAAUAAGCCCUUAAAAAUGUACUUGUUUAUAGCAUGAAAGUGGAAACAAACAGGCAAAGCACUACCUUGUUCAACCUCACUUGGGAAUGUGCUCUCUCUCCAGGUAACUUAAAUUUUUUGCCACUCUGCAUAUAUCUGCAAAUGACCAUUGACAGUGAUUAUUGAUUUUUGAGGUAACAUACAUUUUAGCAAGAAGACAAACUUACAAAUGCAAAUCUGCACAUAAUGAGGAUCAACUGUUUCUGAAGUUCUUUCCUUUCCAUAUGUAGCUCUGGCUUUUCAGAGAUCUCUGCUUGAACAACAGCUCCCGCAAGAGCUCCCACAGGUCCAUUUCUGUGCACUUGUGCUCUCUCUGUCCCACUUUAACAAGAAUUGUUCUUUUUCAACCAUUUGCAAAAAAUUUUGUUUUAAUCUUACCCUUUCGCUCAUUUUCAGCAUUUUUUAAAGUAAUAUUCUUUGCUCUCAUUAUAGUACAGUAUUGUGGAAGGAGAAAAAUUAGAAAAGUCCUUUUUUUGUAUUAAAAAAUAGGUAUGUUUUGAAGAAUGUCUUUAAAAAUACAGAGAAAUAUGAGGGGCACCACCAAAGCCCUCUCUGAGAAAUAUCUACUAGCAUUUUUCUUAAUCUUCUUUCGCUUUUAGGUUUAGAAAGGUACAUUAAUAGAUAAAGUGAUAUGAAUUGAGAUUAAAAGUAUAAUCUACUUUUCAAUAAUAAGGUAAAUGUAGAUCCAGUAACGUUAAUUGUCACACAACUGUUGAGCUGAUUGCUAAUUUAUUUGGAUAUAUUUCAAGUUUUUUCUUAAUAGCUUUCUAAAGUACCUUAUAGUAUCUCCAAUUCAAUAACUAAUGGGUGAAACAUACACAUUAAGAACUAAUCUUAUUUUUCUUACAUACCCUAAAAUAUAUUUCAAGUGGAUUUAUGGCAUAAAUGUGAUCACAGACAUUUCAGAUUACUAUGAGGAAAUAAUUGCUUGUAUAAUAUUGAGGGUAAAAGAGGUAGGACUAACUAAUCAUUAGACCAAAGCCAGGAACCACGUAAGAAAAUACUGAAAUGUUUACAUACAUAUUUUUAUAUCUUCUAUAUAUCCAAAAAACAAAAAUAGUAAUAAUAACGGCAUUAAAAAAGAGCACCAAAUUAGAAAACAAGAUUGUACUACAAACUGGUAAAGAUUUAAUACUUUUAAUGUGGAAAAGGGUUUAUAAAUCUUUAAGUAAAAAAGAAAAUUUUCAACCUUAAAAGAGAGAAAUCAAAGUGAUAAAGUAUGUUUAAAACAAUCUGUUUUACCAGUUCAGGUAUGCGUGCUGUUACUUAUCUUCCAUUUUAUAAUUAUUUCUACUUAAGGUCUUCCUCAUGCUACUAAAUAAAUGGGGGAGAAAGACACACAGAAGAAAAAAAAGUCUAAAAUUUCUUGGAAUUUAAUCAAAAGUUUUCAGGACUAAUUCCGAACACAAAAUGAAAAACAACCUAAAAUCCCAUGUGGCCAAAACUUGCACUGCUUCUCACUGGUAUAAAGUAUCACUAUAGAGAACUGGUUCUGCUUACCUAAACAAAUGACAAUUGUGUGUGAGGGCCAAAAUUGCAUGCUUAUACCAUUUUGUGGAGUUGACAUUGGUGGCUCAUGCCAAAAGGCCAGUUCAUUUUAGUUCAUCUCUUUGCUUAGUUUGUUGUUUUUUAAAAGGACAACCUACUGGAUCACUGUUACUAGAUCUAGAAGAGCUGCCUACACUAGGUAUAUAUUACACAGAAAUCAGCCAUCAUCCCAUACCCCUAACCCCUUAAAAACCAUUAGGAACUUCUAUUGAACUUAAAUUACCAUCCUAAAAUUUCCUUUCAAGAUAAUUUUAUUUCGGUGUUUUCUUGUUCUUUCCUACACACUGAAUUGCUUUGGCAUCAUGCUUUCCAACUUUCAAGGCCUCUCUACAUUCAACUUUUAACAAAAUGGUGGGGGAGAUUGAUUAAAAGUCACUUCAGUUUCAAAAAUGUCCUGGUCUCCUUCAGUGAUCAGUGGUCAUCACAGUGACCAGCUUGGCAUCUCAAGCCAUAGGUGAAGGAUUCAUUUUUCUCAACCCUCAAAACAUUUCUUGUCUCCAACCAAGAGGCACCAACUUACGUUAAAACUAAGGUUACAUUAAAGCUGUGUUUCUUUUGUUUGUUUCUUGCUUUAGACAGUAGGGGAGAAGUAACAUGGCCAGAGAAUAGCUAGACCUAGCCCCUGGCGAAACUAAAAGUCAAAAAUAAACACUUAACACCAAACUUAGAAAAAGCACGGUCGUUUGUUUCUAUGUUUGUUUUUAAGGUAUUAUGAAUGAAAAAGUGUAGUAUAUCAAAAUGUAGGUUAUCAGCUAUUGUCAUUCUUGAUUUCAUAUUCUCUGUUUUGGAUAGAAUUACUCUACUCUCCUAGCUUUCCAUUUAGGAUGAUGACAAUGACCAUGAAAAUGAUGGGAGUGAGUACUCUUCAAGUACACCCUGUUUGCUUCUGAGUGUUCUGUUUCAGAUGCUUUUAAGAAGGGCACGUUGUGACAGACCUACACAUGGCUAGCGCAACCGUUCUUAGCCUCUUACAUUCUCUGUUUUCUUCAGGAGCUAAAGCAGGCCCACAUGUCUAGUUCCUUGAAUAGUUCACCAGAAGAGGGACAUUCUUUCUCAUUGUGAUAUUUACUUUAAAUCUGGCUCAGUAGAAGUGAUGAUGUUUAGGGUUUGGAUUUCAAAACCCUAAGAAAGUUUCCUUAACUUUCCAAUAGAUUUGCCUGAGGUCAUAUAGUGAGGAACCAAGAAAAACUCCAAAGGUAGUUAUUUCACAAGGCAUUCAUUGUUUUCUUCAUUUUACACUUCCAUUUACCUCUAAAUUAAAGAAAGGUAAAAGAGAGGAAGAAUAAAAUGGAUGCAUUCUCAUUCAGCUUCUGGGUUGUUAGUAAAUUGGCCUCAUUUGAAAAUCCAAGUGCUUUACAGUCAGAAAUAGAUAUAGUAUUAGGAAAUCAUUAGUAUGUAGCUGAUGGGUUAAACCAGUACUGGAAUGCUGUCACUCAAGAAUAGGUAGCAUGGAACAAAUUAUAAAUAAGGUAUAAAUUCUGGGAAUACUAAUGUUUAAGGGAAAGUCAGAAGUUUAAAAAGGUGACUGAGGAGAAGCAAUGCUUUAAUUGCAUCCUGUAAGUUUUGAUAUAUGAUAUUUUCACUGUUCAGAUUAUUUUCUAUUUUUUAUUAUUAUUUUUAUGCAUGCUUUAAAUUUAUCACUUUUAAUUUCCAAAUACAUAGGGAUUAGUAGUUAUGUUUAUUUGAUAGCACUGUUAUAAAAUAUUGUGUGUUAUUUUAAUACUUGGAGAUUUUUUGAAACUCACUUUAUGGUUCUGCAUAUGAUCAAUAAUUGGAAAUGAUUUAUGUGUCCUUGAAAACAAAGUGCAUUCUGAAAUGUUUGGGCAUAGUGUUUUCUAUAUGUCCAUUAAUAAGUCACAUUGUUUAAAUUGUGUAAGUCAUCAACAACACAUGUGUGGGUGUACACACACACACUUUAACUCUGAGAGAUGCUUUAAAAUCUACUAAGAUGGCUUUGUUUCCUAGUUUUAUCAAUUUUUGUUCUAUGUAUAUUUCUGCUAUUAAAUUUACUUCUCUCAUUCAUAUAGGCUAAAUACCUGUAAGUAGAAUGUCAGGGUUGUGUGUUAUAUGUGUGUUGGAUUUUUAACAUUCAUUUUUAUUAAUUUUAACCUAAAAGCGCACAUGACGGUGUUGUUAAUUCGAGGUAGAUCUUAUCAUAUAUGUCACUGUAAGUAAUAAGUGUGCUCCUCCCUUUGCCUUAGUCCUUACCCUUCGAACAAUGUGGUAAGAAGUAGGCCAAUUGUCCUAUACAAAUAGCUGGACAGUUCAAUAGCUAGGAAUAAAGAAAAAAAAUAAUUUUUCUCUGCUUAUAAAGGGGGAAGAGGCAGCUGUAUCCCACCCCUCCUGAAAGGGACUCCUUACUCCAGCCUUGCAGCAUGAAUGUAUAUGAAGUCUCUCUCACAGCCAGCUAGCCCCUUGUGACCCAGUUUUUAUGGAGAUGUGUCCAAGUUCCUGGAGCUGAUUCGCCUUUGAUAUGUAAAUACCUAGGAAAGUAGCUGCUAUUAUAUUUUCUUGUACCUUGGAGUCUUAACCCAGAACCUAAUACAACUGUAACCAUUUUACAUAGAAGGUUGACUAUCUCAUUGGUCAGAACAAUUAAGAAGACACAUGGCUACAGAUCUAAUUGAGAUCUCUAAUGGUUUGUGAAAAUAUUUCUAGGAGGCGAGCGGUUUUCACAGAAACAGUGAAAAAUCUAGGCAAGUUUUAUUUCCAUCUAUGUAUGUUUAACUUCUUAAGAAACUGAAAAGCAGUUUUCAAAAGUUUUUAUACCAUUUUACAUUUCAACCAGCAGAGUAUGAGAGUUCUAGUUUCUCCAAAUCCUUCCUGGUAAUUGAUGGCAAUCAUGCUUUGCGAAUACAGGAAUUUUCACAUUAAAUUUUUUUUUAAGUACUGACUUGGCUUUACCUCACAAAUUUUUAUAUAUCUCAUUUUUAUUUCAUUCAAUUGAAUAUGUAUUUGUAUCUACCUUAUGAUAUAUUAUUCAACCAUAGGAUAUGUACAACUGUAUGUUGUUUUAAAACAUUUAGAGUUUUCUCUUCUAUCCUUCUAUUAAUUUUUUAGUUUAUCGUGGUUAAGAAGAUGCUUUGUGUGAUUUCAAUUACUGAGCAUUCUUUGAUGCCCAGAAUAUGGUCUAUAAAUGUACCAUACCAUGAUAAAUGUACACAAGCACUUAGAAAGAAUGAAUAUACUGAUAUAUUUAUGUGUAGCGCUUUAUAAUUUUCAUUUAGGCCAAGCCAGGUGACAAUGUGUGUAUCAUUAUUAAUUUUCCUUCAACUGGGAGAUUUUCUUUAAAAUUUCUGUAGUACAGGUCUGCUGACAAAACAUUAUUUCCCUCUCACACAAAUAGACGCACUCUCUAGGAAGCAUUUAGAAUGCAUAUACUGAUAUUUUUAUGUGUAGCACUUUAUAAUUUUCGAUUAGGUCAAGCUAGCUGACAAUGUGUAUAUCAUUAUUAAUUUUCCUUCAACUAGAAGAUUUUCUUUAAAAUUUCUGUAGUACAGCUCUCCUGACAAGACAUUAUUUCCCUCUCACACUAAUAGACACACUCUCUUAUUGGAAAAUAUUUUCAUUUUGCUUUAAAUUUCUGAAAGAUAUUUUCACUGGCAAUGGAAAUCUUAGGUUGAAAAUAUUCUAAACUUUUGAAAUAUUACACUGUCUUCUGGUUUUUAUUGUUUUUGAUGAAAGUCAGCAGACAUUAAUAUUAUUGCUCCCAUGUACAUCAAGUGUUCUUUUUCUAUUUCUACUUUGAAGACUUUCCCUUAAGGUUUGAAUCAACGGUUUGAUUAUGAUGUGUCUAGGUGUGAUUUUCUUUGUAUUUAUUCUGCUGUUGUUAGAACCCCCAAAUUUGGGUUUGAAUAUCCAGUGUGGAGCAAGCCAAACAAUAAUACAUCAGUGGAUAGGAGCAGAGAAAGGUUUAUUUGAUUUGGCCAAAGCGUGAGAGUGGGAGAGGCAAACUCUGAAGUCUGACCUGCUUUUGAACAUGACUGGGUGAUUUUAUGAAUAAGGAAGGUGUGUGUGAGGUGAGAACCUUCCGUGAUCAAAGCUGUUUGCCUCCCUCCUCAGAUAGAACUUCUAGAUGCCAUCAAAGCUCUGUAUGACCUAAGGAUUAUUGUUCUUUAAAAGAAAAACAAGUUUAUUAACCUUUCAGGCAACCCCUGGGUGGUUAGAAUAUGAAGUUAAUCAAUUAUUAGUGACUACUGUCUACUGAAAUAACUAUGGGCAAGCAAUCAUGCAUGGAGGAAGAAAAGGACAAAGAAAAGUUAACCACCUUGUGAUUUUUAUAAUAUAGGAUCAGUUACACUAAGAUUGAUGAUCUUCUUACAUUUGUAAACUUUAUGCCUUUCAUCAACUUGGGAAAAUUUUUGUCCAUUAAUUCUUCAAAUAUAUUUCUGCUCCAUAUUUUCCCUCCUUUUCUUCUAGAAUGGUAUUUAUAUGAUGUUUAACCUUUUGUUUUAGAAGGUUAACAUGGCUAAACACAAACUGCAAACUGAGUCCCCUAUUGUUGACAGCAGUUGAGAUAUGUUUUCAGAUCUUUUAGCUUUAUAAGCAGUGCUUGGAAUCUGCUGCAUGCAAGUGUAGUUCCUGGAUGUGCCAGAGAUUGACUUAGGGUUUAUGUGCAGAAUUUGGUUUUCUUUUUUCUAUGCUUUCCCCCCUUUUUAAAUUUUGUAACUUCAGUGGUAGUCCUGACAUCUGUCUUCUCAUUCUUUAAAAGAGUAAGAUUCCAGGUUCCUAACUAUUUUAGCUGCUCCAUGUUAAGCCAACUUGCUGAGAAGCCCACAAAAGUUUUAAAAGAUAAAAUAUUUCUUAAGUCGGAUGAUGAGGAAACACUCUCUGUGUGUUGAUUUUCCAUUUUUUUGUAUGUAUUUAUUAAUGUGUAUAUCUUUAUACAAAGGAAUUUUCAAUUUAUUAGACAAUAGUAGAUAACAGACAAUCUACAAGAAGAAAGAACUUUUGUCAUCAACUAGUCUGGGUAUGCAGAAAAUUAUACCUAGAUAACAUAAGUGACCUUUCUUAUUGGCACAUUGUUAAUGACAAAAUUAGUAUGGGAAAACCUCCUGAAAGUUACUGCAAAGCUUACUAUUGGACAAAAAGACAUGAAUAUCUUAAAUGAUCUUGGAUUUAUUUUAUAUUACAUUGUUUUAUUUUAGACAAUAAUUUUAUGUUUAAAGUUUAGAUAUUUCUUGAACAUAAGAGCUUAGUACUACAAAAUGAUAGGCAUUCAUUAUGAAUUGGAAUAUUGGAAAUCUACAAUUUAUAGUCAGACAUAGAAAAAGAAGGUGACUAUUCUGUCAAAAUUUAUUCUCACUAGCAACAAACUCGAAAAAAUUUUUCUUUAUAAUUAUUUCUCAAGUUUCUUGAAACAACAGGGUUGUCUUACUGGCAGUGCCCCCUGGAUAUUAUUCAUUAGUUUUUCAUUUGACUGCACUCCUGUGAUACUUCAAUAACCUUGAAAUAAAACUCAGAUCCCAAGAUACACUUCUUACUAACCUCUUCCAAACAGAGAAAACCUGCAGAUAAAAGAAAAUAAAAACUCCCAAAGACACUUUGGAAGGUUUUUGAUAUGCUAAUGUAACUAUUUACAGCUUUUAGAGACCAUUCAGCAUAGAGACUCAUACCCAUUCAAACAGACUCCAGUUAAACAAGCAUCCUUGAAAUUACUGUCACUAUCAGUAAAGAACUGGGACACUUAAUGUAAAAGAGGAGGAUGGAUCCCAGUUCUCAUCAUUAACUUUGCCCUUGUUUUCAUCUUUCAUAGAAAUAUAAAAGUAAUCCUCAAACUGAAUAACAGAGGCUUCAUGAUGUGUGCAUUUGCUCCUCAGCAUAGGUCAUUAUUGAUCAAAUCAUAUUUUGUUUGAAUUGUACAUAUAGAUAAAGCUUGGUUACUUGAUAUUGGUGAUUUUGAUAUCCCUUAUGGUCAUUGAAACAAUCACUUUUAUAAGGCAUGGUAGUUAUGCAGUUUACUUUUCAGAUAGCGAUACAAGAGACUAUUAAAACCAGAGUGACCUUUUGCAAUAAGUGGCAAAAAUAUUCGUUUUUUCUUAAUGAAAUAAAUUGAUUUUAUACUAAAAGUUAAGAAUUUUUGGAAAAAUGAAUAUUUGAGAAAGCUAACUUUCUAACUUUUCUAGUUAGAAUUAGAACUUUCUAAUUUCUAACUUUUCUAGUUAGAAUUGUCUAAUUACUUUGGAAACUUGUCCUCGACAUGAGUAUAGGAUAAGGCUUUCUAAUUUUGACAAAAUUUACAUGCUUGGGUUCACUCCUGGUAAGGGACAAGUUAGCUUCCAUUAGAUCAACUUCCCACAGAUAGUAGCUAUAAACUCUAGAGAAAAUACAAAAAUGAACAACUACUGGAAGUCACUGGGGAAUGAUCAAAAGUUAGCAGAAACUGGCAAGUAAACCACCAGUGGUAAAAGGGAAUGGCGGGAGUGAUUUUCUCAUUUUCAUCACUUCUAGCCUGAGGCCAGCCCUUGUCUGCACCACACAUGGAAGCAAAAAUAAUACAUAAAAAUUAAAAAAAAAAAUCUUCACUGGGAAGUGAAAGAGGAAACAGGAAAAGGAGAGUACCAGGGAUUAGAGGCACAAAUUAUCUGCAUUUACUCUGCCUGUCAGGCUGACCACAAAUGCUGAAGACACAGUCUUAGUAGGCAACAUAAGAAUAGAAUAACUGAACUAAGAUUUGGCCUGCUACUUAAGACCAUAAUUGCAAUUUGAGAAAAACCCAAUAAAAGAAAAUCUGGACACAUUUGACUGCAUAAAACUUUAAGAAGAGAGUAAUUGAAUAGGCAAAAAACACCAAAACAAAGUCAAGAGACAAACGGAAAAUAGAAGAAUAUAUACCACUGUAUAACUGAUAAAGGACUGAUACCUUAAUAAUAGGAAACUCAUGAGACAAAAAGUCACAUAAGGCUCAUGACAAUGAAUUAAAAAAACAAAGACAAUCUACCAAAAACAUAUGUAAAACCUCUUUGAGCAUAUGGAAAGACGUUUAGCCUCUCUGGUAAUCAAAAGAUGCACAUAAAAACCAUCAUAUUAUUAGAAUGGCAAAAAUUAAGAUGCAUAAUAAUACACUCUGCUAACAAGAGUAUAUAAUAUACUCUGCUUGCAAGAGUAUGUAGAAACAAUAACUUUCUUACAUAUUUAGUAGGAAUGCAAACUGGUAAAAUCCUUAAUGAGGGAAUUUGGAAAUAUCUCAAAAACAAACAACAAAAAAAAAACACACACACAAAAACUAGAUAUAUGUUAACCUUUUCAUCUACAGUCCAAAUUCUAGGAAUUUACUCUGAAGAUCCAGCUCAUUCAGUACAACAGUAUAUAUAUAUUUUACAAACAUUUCAUACAUUGAUGUUUUAUUUAAUAUCAGAUAUUUCAUAAAUAUUUCAUUUUCUAUAUUAUUUAAAAAUAAAAUCGAACAAACAAAUACCUAUGCAUAAAUUUGAGGAUAGACUUAAGUGAAGGACAAUAGCCCUCAAAAAUAAACUUCUAGUUGUGAUUCUGUCUUAUCUUUAUAACAUGACUAGCAUUUUUUUUUCAGCAGAAUGAUCACACAAUGAAUUAUUUCCUAUUGAAAAAUUUCCUUUUCCUAAAACUUCAUUUGAACACCAUUGUUUCUACAUACUUCUCUUUGUUUUCAUGCAACUCUUCUUUAGAGGCGAUGUGGACUUUAGAUCUCUGGGAAAGGGCAUACCGGAGGAUUUUACUGGCCUUUGUGACAGAUGAGUGUUGUCAGAAUAUUUGGUGGCUGUGUGUCAGGGGCUUGGGCCUCUCUGUUAUGCAAUUGUGUCACUCUGAGGCUCUCUACUUGAGGGAAUGUUUGUUUCCAUUUUUAAUCAACCUGGAACAAGGCGAAUCCUGCCUCUCAAAGGGUUGUAGAAAAUACUUCCUAGGUCUGUUGGGCCACGGAGUGCCUCUGAAGAUGUCUGCACAUUCCUUAAGCAGCUGGCCCUGAGGGAAGUCUCAGCUUUAAGACACUGAGGCUGGUUUCCCUUUCUUUUCCCACAAACCUUCAGUAUAAUCUUGUUAAAGUUCUGUCCAGGGUACCGUUGUGCUUUGAGGAAUGAAGGGGGACCUGCCCGUGUUCCAAAGGUGGAGUAGUCAUGUGCUCUGCCUGAAGAUGAAGCAGGGGCGUCUCAGUGGUCAGCAUGCGACAGACAGUGUCCCUAGUACAGCGGCAAUCCCUAAAGUGGUCAGCAGCGGAUGCAGCACUGAGGCAGUCAGGUGAAGAUGCAGGCUAGGAAGGGGGUGAGGGAUAAGUAAGGAGAACAUGUGAAACCACUGUCAGGAAUUUGAGGAAUUUACUGGGACUAAUGUAGGGCACUUUGACCGCCAUAUCCAAAUUAAGCCAAUAAUAUGGCUAUUAAAAUGGAGUGCAAUAUUACUGUCAUUUUCGUUUUAGAAAUGUGGAAAUGGAGGCAUCAGGCACAUUACUUGGAGUUGCCUACUACAUACUCCAAAUUUCUUUAAAACCUCAUUGUAAGAUGAAGUAAAUGUCAUACACUAUUCCCUAAUAUAGACAGGUGCAUUUUAAUAGUAAGCUAUUAUGAUUAAUAUGAACAUGGUCAUGAAACAAUUUCUCCUCAGACAUUUUUAGUUAAACUUGAGAAGCUGAAAAAUGAAGGCUGCUUCUUGUGUGGCUUUCUAUGCUGCCUGCUUCGCUUUCAAACAUAGACUCAAACUGCUGCCUACCUACUUGGAAAGUGUUUAGUGUAGUUUUGUUUUGUUUCUUCAAAGAAAAGGGAAGGCAAAAGGAAAAGAGAAAAGGGAAAGAAAUCCAGAGAAAAGAAUGGGGGGAACUUAGCUUCUCAGGGGUAAAGACAGACAGACUUCAAUCCCAACAUCAGGGAGAGCAGGGGAAACCAACUUGGCCCAGAGCUGUCACUCUCACUCUCCUCUUGCUUGAACAGCUGCCAAUACCCAGAGUCAGCCUGUCCUGUUGCCCACUGAGCUUCAUGCUUGCAGAGAAAUACUCACAUCUGUGCCAAAAACCUUUUGCCCAGCUCUGACACUUCCGUUUUGAAUCCCAUGGCUCUUCUUGAUUGUACCACUGAAGGUCCAGGACACAAAAAGCCCUCAGGUCAUUUGAUUUAGGAUUUGAACAAUGGAGAGAUGAUCAUGAUCAGAAGAAAAAUUCUUUAUACUUGACAAAGGCAGAAAUAAAAAUCCAGUUUGAAAUUGACUUUUGAGCCUGGAGAAUGGGAAACUUCACCCAUGUUAACUUGUCUUUUGUAAACAAAGUGUCUUUCUGUGUUACAAUUUUCAAGAGCCUAAUUCUGCUAAUCAUAAUGUAUUUAUUUGCACAUGCAAUUAAAAUUUCCAAAUUUUUCUUUUUAAGGAACUACUCCAAAAACCUUUCCUUUUCUUUGAAAGUAUACCACUGAGUUUUGUAAAGUACCAGACUUUUGCUUGAGUUUCGUAAAAUGUUGUCUGAGCUUCUACACAGCAUGACAGAUGGUCAAAACCACUUUUUCCCUGGAUUUUGUGUCUAUUGAGUUAGUUGUCACUCCUAGCUUACUGCCAUCUACAAAUCUUAAAAACAUGCCCUUUAUCUCUCUUCCUCCUGGUUAUUAAUUAAAAUUUUAACAAGACAGGGCUAAGAGCCAACCCACUGUAGGGGCUUUAUUAAAGACUACUGUACUUUGCAGUUUGAUGUUUACUAACAUUCUUUGGGCACCUGGCUACAACGUAACUCAAUUUUCUGUGAAAAACUAUUAAUCAUCCUAUUUUUUCCUUGUCUUUAAUAUGAGAUAAAUUUUAUAGCACUGUUUCUCAAACCAUCUGUUGUGAGGGACAGUUUUGCUUUUUAAUUUCCAAUUGUCAGAGACCUAUGCUUUUGUCAAAUACAAUUAAAAACAAACAUAAAAAUAAAAUUAUUAGAAAAAUGAAAUAAAAGAGAAAUGAAAUAAGAAUAAUUUUAUUAUUAGAUUUAACAGAUCAAAUAUUGUUUCAAUACUCAGAUCAAAUGUGCAAUAAGACAGGGUUGCAAAAAAUGCACACUUUUUUAUUAAAAUCAUUUAUGUAGGUAAUUUAUAUAAAAAUAAUAUUACAGUUGCAACUUUCUGUUGUUUCUCAACUAUGACCAAACAGAGGUUACAAGUGAAGUAGCAAUCCCAAUACUAAACUGCUAUAUGUGCAUUUUGAAUCAAUAAUGUGUAUGUCAAUGAAGUUUUUAAUGUGAUAAAUUUGCAUUUUGGUUGUUAAUUUAUAUAAUCUAGGUUGGAUAAAUGACAAUGCCAAUCAUAGGGGAUAAUGUUGAUCCUAAAUGUUAGUGUGUUGAUUUCAUAACACUCAAUGGAGAAGCCAGUCUCAGAGAGGCAGGGUGCUAGACUGGAAGAAAAUAAUUUGAAAUAAUUACAGUAAGCUGAUGGAAUUCAUUUUUAUCUGUUUUUAUAAAGCAAGUGAUUUUGGAUUUUUAAAAUUUAUCUUCAGUUCUUCAUCAAUAGCUACUUUUAAUCAUUAACCUUAUAAAUUUAAUUAUAUUUCAAUUAUAUUUUAAUAGAAAGAAUGGAUUUCAUGUUUUUUUCUGGUGUGGAUUUUGAUAAGAAAAUAAAAUUCAAAAUAUUCUGUUAAAUUUGGAGGUGUCUGGUGAUAAUUUUUCACAGAUGUAUAAUAUCAAGAUCCAUUGAAGUGUGUGUGUGUGUGUGUGUGUCUGUCUGUCUGUCUUCCAGGCAUGAAAGUAUGAAAAUAAUUUACUAAAGACAUUAGACUUGCUGUUUAUUUUAUGUAUUUUUAAGUUAGGAUCAAAUCAGUUUCUUAUAUUACAGAAAUUUCUUGCAGAAUGGUUCAUUCAGUAAUUCAAACAUUGUCAAUAAAACUUAUUUUAAAACUAGAAUAUAUACUGCAUUUCAGCAUGCCAUAAGAGUUGUUUAUGAUGAACUUCCAUAUUAAAACAUAAUGAGAAUAAUAUAGGAAGAAUAGUAAAUAUUAGUUUUUAUGUAGUAUCAAAGUUUUAUAAUGUCACCAAAUAAACUGUUUAGUUCAACUGAUUUUAUUUUUUCAUUCAUAGCAAGUGUUUCCGAUGAGUGAAGCAGUCUGGUGAUUAACAAUCUGAUAUGAUACAAACUUCUUUAUCUGUGUAACAUUUCCAGAAUGUUUUCUUGUCGUUAAAAUCAUGCCAUCAGAACACAUUCCUAAAAAAUUUAAAAUUCAAAACACAAAUACAGACUUUGUGAUGAAAACACAAGCUUUCAUAGUUUUAUACAAUUUAGAACUAGUUGAGUUUUUGACAAUAAUGAAGCUGUAGACACAAAUUAUUUCUUUAUAACACCAUCAUUUUCAUAUAACAACAUGUAAGCAAAUACUGGCAUUAUUAGCAAUAACUAAUAACUAAUACCUAAUACAAAAACUAUGCAUUUGUGAAGUUCCAAGAAAAAAUACUUAGCUAAAUUUAUGUGUACUAUGAGCUGGUCUUUAGUAUUAUUUUCAUUUCCUGAGUAGAGUGAGCUCUGAUGUCUUUUACAGCUCACUAAUAUUCCAUGGUAUGGAAGAACCUCAUUUUACUGGUUGUAGGACAUUUGGAUUGUUUUUGGGUUUAGUGAUUGUGAAUAGAAAAGAUAUAAACCUUCAUCCACAGAACUUUCUGUGAAUAAGAAAGUUCAUUUUUCUUGUGUAAAUACCUGGGACUGAGAUUUCUUGAUCAUAUGAUAAAUAUAUGUUUAAUAAUUGUGAAAAUAUUUUUCAAAGGAAAUGUACAGUUUUGUUUUCCCGCUACCAGUGUAUGAGCAUCUCAGUUGCUCUGUAUCCUUGUCGACACUUAGUAUUGCCAGCUUUAUUUUUAAUUUUAGUAUUGCUAUUCUAAUACCUGUAUAAUGGAAUCGUAUUGAGGAUUGUAUUUGCAUUUCUCUAAUAACUAAUGAUCUCGAGCAUAGAUUCAUGUGUGAUUUGCCAUUUAUGUAUCUUCUUUGGCAGAUGUUGUUUGAAAUAUUUUGCUGUUGUUUAUUUAGUUGAUUUCUUAAAGUUUUGAUAGUUCUUUAAAUAUUAUAGUUAUAAUUCUGUGUUCAAAUGUGUGUUUUGAAAAUGUUGUGUUCCACACUAUGGCUUUACUUUCCAUUCUCUUAUGUCUUUAAAAGAGUAGAGGUUCUCAGUUUAGAUAAUAUAUAAUUUCUCUAUUUGUUUUUCUUUUUAAGGUUUUACAUUUAGGUAUAUGUUCUAUUUUGUGUUAAGUUUUGUACAUGCUACGAGGUUUGGAUUGAGGUAUAGGUGUAUAUGUAUAUAUAUAUGUUAUAUAUAUGGGUUUGUGUGUGUGUGUGUGUGUCUCAUAUUCCAAUACUGUGUGUUGGGGAUUAUUUUUUCUUCAUUGAAUUAACUUUGCACUUUGUCAAAAAUGAUUCACCAUAAGCAUAUGGGCUUAUUUCUGCACUGUCUAUUCUGUUAUACUGAUUUAUAUUUCUGCUUUCAUUGAUGUAACACUGUCUUGAUUAUUGUAGCUUUAGAGUUAAUAUUAAAAUUAUAUCGUUUUAAUCCUUCAAAUUUUUACUUUUUCGAAAUUGUUUUAGUUUUGUUGCCUUUCCAAAUGAAUUUUAAAUUUCACGUGAAUUUCUCCAAAAAAGUCCUGUUGUGAUUUAGUUAAAAUUGCAUCCUAUUUUCAGAUCAAUUUAGGGAGAAAUGACAUAAUAACAUUCCACUAUAAAUGGAAAUAACUCCAUUUAUUUAGGUGUUCUCUGAUAUCUUUCAUUAGUGUUUUAUAAUUUUCAGCAUUCUGACCCUGUACAUAUUUUUAGAUUUACAAUUAAUAACUUAAUGAUUUUUGAUAUUGUAAAUGGUACUUUUAAUAUAAAUUUUUAAUCAGCUUUGCUGUUAUGUAAAAAUGGAGUUGAAUAUUUGUAGUAGCUUUGUGUCAUGUGAUUUUGCUAAACUCAAUUAUUAGUUAUAAUACCUUUUUGUGGAUUUUGUGGAAAUUUCUACGUAACUAAUUAUGUCAUCUAAUAGUGAAGUGUACUUCUUUCCUUCCAAAUAUUAUAAAUUUUAUUUCCUCCAUUAUCAUAUCUGUACUAUAGAUAGGUUUCAAACGAGUUUUCUUAAGAUGUAUUUUUCUCAUAAAGUCUUUAUUUCUCUUUUGUUCUUGAGAUUUUUUCUGGGCAUACUAUUUUCAAGACACGAUGAGAUGCAUUGAAUAAAGAAAGGUGAAUGUUCUAUUGUUCUAGUUGAAAUAUUUCAAUUGAGGAUAAUUCAAGAAAUGAAAUUUAUAUGCUAUGAUAAUACAGUAUAACAUAAUAUAGUAUCUCAUAAAGCCAAUGUGAACAAAAGCUAUGGGACCACAAUGGAGAGAUGGAUUUAAAUGGCUAAUCUGAGAUUUCUUAAAAGAAAAAUCAUUUAUUUGGAACUAGAUAAAAAAAGAAUAAGUUAUUGUCUAGUAGAAAAAGUGAGGAAUAGUCUUUAAUACUCAAAAAGCUAUGUUUGUUACAGAAAAAAAGACAAAGGAAAAAAUCUUAUUCUUUUGAGGAAAAGCACUGAGCAAUGUAGCUUGAGUGUAGGGUACAUGUGCCGGGUGAUGGGGGAUUAGGACCAAAUUGCUGUACUUCUGCCAAAUUGUGGAGUUUGGUUUUUAGUCUACAUAAAAGGCAAAUGAUUUAAGGUUUGUAAUAAGGGAAAAGAUGUAGUCAAAUAUGAAUCAAAUGAAUAAGUACAGCAGCAGCAUGUAUAAAAACAAGGCAUGUGCAAUGAUUAAUUUUAUGUAUCUACUUGACUGGUGCCCAGAUAUUUGGUCAAACAUUAUUACAGAUUUGUCUGUGAAGUGUUUUGGGGUAAGAUUAAUAUUUGAAUUGGUAGAUGGAAUAACACAGAUUGUCCUUCAUAAUAUGAAUGGCCCUCAUCCAAUCAGUUGAAGGCCUGAAUAGAACAAAAAUUCUGAGUAAGCAGGAACUGCCCCCUCUGCCUGAUUGCUUUGAGCUGGGACUUUGAUCUUUUCCUGCUUUGAGACAUGAACUAAAACAUCAGCUCUUGGGUUUUUACCCUGCCAGCUUUCGGACUCGAAUGUUCACCAUUGACUUCCCUGGUUCUCAGGACUUUGGACUUAGGCUGGAACUGCAUCAUCAUCAGCUCUGAUGGGUCUCCAGCAUGCUGAAUGCAGAUAUUGGGACUUCGCAGCCUCCAUAAUCAUUCCUUCAGCUUUGAUGACCAUCCUCAAAAUAACAAACUCUUUCCUUGGUUUUUGUUUGACUUCUGUUAAGGACGCUGAUCAGAAACUGACUCCAUUACUAGUUCCAAGGAUGAGGCAUCAUUGAUCCAGAGUUAAUUCCACCAUUUUGAUCACUUUGAUACAAAGAUUGAUUCAGAGGUUGGCUUAUGACUCUAUUCACACACAUAUGACUUGAGGGGAGUUUUGCUGGAAGCUUCUGGGAAGAAAUAUCUUAGCGUAUGAGCCACAGAAAAAGAAACUCUGCUCAUCUCUGGGAAACUUAGUGUGCGGAAAGCCUGAAAACGCUGUAUGCAUUUUACUGCUGUGAAAGAGGCUAACUUCUGGAUGAAGCUAGCACACAGAGGAGGGGCCAGAUAACAAAGUCAGAGAACAAUGAAACUGGAUUAAGCCUGAAGCAAAGCCUUCCCUGUCUGACAUGGACUUCCAGCCAUGUGAGCCAAUUAAUAUAUGGGGUACAGGAGAUUGAAUUGUGAAUCCUAUUACUUGCUCCUCAAAGACAGGAUGUAAUUCAAUAAUAAAUCCACAUUUUAUAGUGGAAUUGUUCUCGGACCAAACCAAGGGUCAGGCUGCAUACUUUUGUGGCCCAAUAACGAGAUGCAGAUGAACUGGGAAAGAAGAGACUUUAUUUCUGUAACUGGGUACAGGAAGAAGGCUGGGGAAAUACCACCAGACCAACUCAAAAUUACAAAGUUUUGCAGAGCUUAUGUAACUUCUAAGCUAUCUGUCUACAUGUAAGUGUGCAUUCAUCUAAAGACAUAAGUGAUUAACUUCUCAUCUGUAACUAAGAUCUGAGUCUUGAAGACCUUCCUCUGGAGCCUGAGUAAAUUUACUUAAUCCAAAUGGGUCCAGGUACCAGAGAGAUUACCCUUACCUUGUCUCCUACUAAAUCGUGGAGGUUUGGGGAGUUCCUUUAGUCCCCAGUAAAGCUUGCUUGUGGCAGUCUGGGGAGGUCCUUCAGGCCCCCAAUAAAACAUGUUUAAUUGUAAAGGGGUCCUGUUAAGAAUUCCUUCGUUAUCUUGUCAUGCUUCAAGGCCCAAGACAGGACUAGGCAAAACUAUUGGUGGGAUUUUGUUGCCUUCCAGCCUAUGUAUGAGAACACUGGCUCUAUUAAACUACACAGUGCUGAAACAGUUGUCAUGGAGGCCUGCCUGUUCAGCUGUUAGUGAGACCUGGCCUGUCACAGUAUCACCUAAAGUAAGAAGAAAAAAGGGGACCUGAUACAUUUAUAGUAUCAUGGACGAAAGGACUUAUGAACGAGUAUCAAUUUUUUUGUUUGUUUUUUUGAGAUGGAGUCUUGCUUUGUUGCCCAGGCUGGAGUGCAGUGGCAUGAUCUCGGCUCACUGGAACCUCUGCCUUCCAGGUGCAAGCGAUUCUCCUGCCUCAGUCUCCUAGGUAGCUAGGAUUACAAGCGUGCACCACCACACCCAGCUAAUUUUUGUUUUUUUUUAAGUGGAGAUGGGGUUUCACCAUGUUGACCAGGCUGGUUUCAAACUCCUGACCUCAGGUGAUCGACCGGCCUUGGCCUCCCAAGGUGCUGGGGUUACAGGAGUGAGCCACCAUGCCCGGCCUAAUUUUUAAAAUACAUAAUUAUCUUUAAAAUAAGUGACUGAUCAUUCCACAUUAAUAACCUACCAUGUGUCCCAGGCCUUAGUCACCUAUACCCCUAUCUCAAGCAUUGAAAAAGAAAAACCAAGAUCUUUCUUUAUUGCCUAGAACAAUGUUAGAGACUAAGAGGUAGAAAUGUGUUUUUCUAAAAAUUGUUAGUAUAUUAGAGCUCACAGCAAGAGAGCUCCAUGGUUCUGAUCUGAUUCUGAGGGAUUAGGCUGUGGAAACUCGGCAUCACAUAUCAGAGGUUGUAUUUACAGCAGGUAGAGGCCUGCUUAGCCUUCAGAGCAAAUAGCUGUGUACUGUAGCCUGUUUGAUUGACAAAGAUUCUUCACAGAAGCCAAUUAUUUUCCUAAAAUGGAUUUUUGUUAAAUAAUAUUAUCCAUGUGGGUUUCUUACUUACCGCAUAAAAUCUUGCCUGUGGCCUUGCACGAUAGACUUUUAAGGAUUGGUUUUGUAAAAAACAAUAAAUGAAGUAGGUCACAA
This is a long non-coding RNA of Pongo pygmaeus (Bornean orangutan), 20608 nucleotides long. RefSeq lists it as uncharacterized. Lineage: Eukaryota; Metazoa; Chordata; Mammalia; Primates; Hominidae. The transcript is spliced from 3 exons. The record is from RefSeq and is a predicted model, not a curated record.